AUUCCAGCUCCAAUAGCGUAUAUUAAAGUUGUUGCAGUUAAAACGCUCGUAGUCGGAUUUCGGGGCGGGCCGACCGGUCUGCCGAUGGGUAUGCACUGGCCGGCGCGUCCUUCCACCCGGAGACCGCGCCUACUCUUAACUGAGCGGGCGCGGGAGACGGGUCUUUUACUUUGAAAAAAUCAGAGUGUUUCAAGCAGGCAGUCGCUCUUGCAUGGAUUAGCAUGGGAUAAUGAAAUAGGACUCUGGUGCUAUUUUGUUGGUUUCGAACACCGGAGUAAUGAUUAAUAGGGAUAGUUGGGGGCAUUCGUAUUUAACAGUCAGGAGUGAAAUUCUUGGAUUUGUUAAAGACGGACUACUGCGAAAGCAUUUGCCAAGGAUGUUUUCAUCA
This 388-nucleotide ribosomal RNA is filed under the name Gephyrocapsa cf. muellerae. Its description in RNAcentral is "partial small subunit ribosomal RNA". It matches the Rfam family "Eukaryotic small subunit ribosomal RNA", at positions 582 to 975 of the family's 1831-position model. Lineage: Eukaryota; Haptophyta; Isochrysidales; Noelaerhabdaceae. The record is from RNAcentral.